GGGACUCUUGCGGCGCCUCGCGCUAUAGGGUUGGCCGAUGGCUGAUUAGCUAGUUGGUGGGGUAAAGGCCUACCAAGGGGACGAUCAGUAGCUGGUCUGAGAGGACGACCAGCCACACUGGGACUGAGACCCGGCCCAGACUCCUACGGGAGGCAGCAGUGGGGAAUUUUGGACAAUGGGCGAAAGCCUGAUCCAGCAAUGCCGCGUGUGUGAAGAAGGCCUUCGGGUUGUAAAGCACUUUUGUCCGGAAAGAAAUCCUUGGCUCUAAUACAGUCGGGGGAUGACGGUACCGGAAGAAUAAGCACCGGCUAACUACGUGCCAGCAGCCGCGGUAAUACGUAGGGUGCAAGCGUUAAUCGGAAUUACUGGGCGUAAAGCGUGCGCAGGCGGUUUGCUAAGACCGAUGUGAAAUCCCCGGGCUCAACCUGGGAACUGCAUUGGUGACUGGCAGGCUAGAGUAUGGCAGAGGGGGGUAGAAUUCCACGUGUAGCAGUGAAAUGCGUAGAGAUGUGGAGGAAUACCGAUGGCGAAGGCAGCCCCCUGGGCCAAUACUGACGCUCAUGCACGAAAGCGUGGGGAGCAAACAGGAUUAGAUACCCUGGUAGUCCACGCCCUAAACGAUGUCAACUAGUUGUUGGGGAUUCAUUUCCUUAGUAACGUAGCUAACGCGUGAAGUUGACCGCCUGGGGAGUACGGUCGCAAGAUUAAAACUCAAAGGAAUUGACGGGGACCCGCACAAGCGGUGGAUGAUGUGGAUUAAUUCGAUGCAACGCGAAAAACCUUACCUACCCUUGACAUGGUCGGAAUCCUGCUGAGAGGUGGGAGUGCUCGAAAGAGAACCGGCGCACAGGUGCUGCAUGGCUGUCGUCAGCUCGUGUCGUGAGAUGUUGGGUUAAGUCCCGCAACGAGCGCAACCCUUGUCCUUAGUUGCUACGCAAGAGCACUCUAAGGAGACUGCCGGUGACAAACCGGAGGAAGGUGGG
Molecule: ribosomal RNA, 983 nt
Filed under: Burkholderia cepacia
Lineage: Bacteria; Pseudomonadati; Pseudomonadota; Betaproteobacteria; Burkholderiales; Burkholderiaceae
Description: bacterial SSU rRNA
Rfam family: Bacterial small subunit ribosomal RNA
Source: RNAcentral